This is a long non-coding RNA of Gasterosteus aculeatus aculeatus (three-spined stickleback), 946 nucleotides long. The record is from Ensembl. NCBI's taxonomy places the organism in Eukaryota, Metazoa, Chordata, Actinopteri, Perciformes, Gasterosteidae.
GGCCAUUGUGCGAGCACAGAGGGAGAACACUGAGUGGAAGAUGGGGGCCGGGAAUGUGCUUGGCAGGCUGUACAAUGGGAACAAGGUUGUCAGUCUCAAAUGAUGCUUUCAUAAUCAACACAUUGGAGCCGGGUUGCUGCACAGAAUGAGAAUAUCAGCGGUGAUAAAGAUGAGGCAUCGGAGGGCAGGAUGCAAAAGUCGUGAGGUGGCAGUUCAUGAAGAACAAAACAGCACCGGGGAAAAUAGAGGAUGAGCUCCAAUGCGCUGGGCUUCCUGACCUGGAGACCUGCUGCCUGUGUGUUGUCCAAGAAAACCUUCGCGGUCGUCAUUCUUGGAAGAGAAUGUGUAAGACUUGGGAGACAGCGGGAAGAUAAAACUGUCACAGAUGUCAAUGAAGAACUGCAUCGCUGGGUGGGAGAAGAAUUGCUGACACUUUAGGGUCAGUUUGCGUUUUAGGCAACUUCAAAACCACUGCUGUGAAAAACCUGUGGACGCCGCGCAGCACUCAAGCUUCACCCAACGCCUUUUCUCCAGAGUGCAGCGGAUGCUGGCGGAGAUAAAAACAGUGCAACCAAACACUGCAAUUUUGCUGAAAGUAUGUAUUUAGUAAGAAGAAUGUGUUUUGAGGGAAAAGAAAACAUGGACCUCCCCUCCCCCCCCUAAAAGUAGACAAAGGAAUACAUAAUUCUACAAUAUUAUGCAUUCUACAAUAAUUCACGUUUCAUUAAUGCACAUGAGUAAUUCAGCUUCUUUCCGGGAGUUUUUUUUGUGCUUUCUCCCCUGGCAGGUCUCCGUUGAUCGUAGUUCCUUCUGGACCCUGGUCCUGACACCUGCCGUGGCCAUGCUGACGCCUGCUGCUGCCAUCAUCAUCAUCAUUAUUAUUAUUUUAGAUAUUAAUCAUAUUACUGUACUCAUAAACCGACAUUACCCUCUCCUAAAGUCUCUG